UGAUAUCACAUGGGGUUGUUUGGUUACAAAUCAACUAAUGUAACCCCACUUUGUUUUGUUUUCACGAAAAUCAAUUUUCAUAACAUCACCUUUCCAAUUUUCUCUACCCUCCUUCUCGUGUUCUCUCUUCCCAACAUCAUCUCUCUUUUCCUCUUCUUUCUUUUCUCUUCCCUCUGUUCCUCUUCUUUCUUUUCUCUUCCCUCUCUUCCCAACAUCAUCUCUCUUUUCCUCUUCUUUCUUUUCUCUUCCCUCUGUUCCUCUUCUUUCUUUUCUCUUCCCUCUCUUCCUCUUCUUCUUUCUCAUCUCUUCUUUCUACUUCAUAUAUGGACAGAGGGAACUAAGGGCAUGUGACUAAUUUGUUGAGAAAGUAUGGUAUUGUUAGAGAAACUUAUAUGUGAUCUGAAGUGUAAAAUGAUAGUGGUAUUAUGGUUCUGCAGAACAAGAGAGAAAGAAGCGAACAUAUUAUGAGGUUAAUUUGAUAACAACUUUCACAAAAAGUGGUAAAUAAUUUGGUGCUAUCUUGAAAUAAUUUGGUGUUAUCUACAUAUACACACAAAACUUAUUUAGUUGUAAUUGUUGAUAAUAUUUUAGAUCUGAAUUCGAUUUUGAUUUAUUUAUUCUCUCUUGUGAUGAUUUGAUUUAUGUUCCAUUUUCAAAUUGUAAACCCUAUAGCUCACCUCAUAAAAUAAUUGGACAAAUAAUAAGCUUUAUAGCUCACUUCAUAAAAUAAUUGGAUAAAUUGUAGGAAAAUUAUGUCAACAAUGGAUAUAUCAAUUUGCAAAGAGUUGUUACAAAAU
This is a long non-coding RNA of Vicia villosa (hairy vetch), 797 nucleotides long. RefSeq lists it as uncharacterized. The transcript is spliced from 3 exons. NCBI's taxonomy places the organism in Eukaryota, Viridiplantae, Streptophyta, Magnoliopsida, Fabales, Fabaceae. The record is from RefSeq and is a predicted model, not a curated record.